CGCAGCGCCUUACGCUUCCUCACCCUCCAGCUGGGUGGCCGUGAAGCUGAUAGAUGAGGCGCCGCCGAAGCCGCUGUCGUAGCUGACGCCUCCUCGGAGACGGGACUGCUGGGGAGUCGCUCCUUCCUCCUGGAGUCUCUGCGUAUCUCCUCAGCCCGCACCUCGCUGCUGUCCAGCCAGCGCACCUCCUGACACAGGACAGGCUUCAGGUCCAUGGCGCCGUAGAGACGACCCUGCAGCUUGCCGAAGAUGGACACCAGCGCUCGGGGAAGCAGACCCGCCUCCAGUCCCGUGCCUGAGCAGCAACGGCAGGCAUGUGUGACGAUGGAAGUUAAAGAACCCGAGUGGACCUCACUGGGAUUAUAUGCCUGGAGAUGACUUAUGAGAUCGAGACCCCCAGAACUGCAGCCUUCAGAGUUACUGCUUUGCUGCCCUUCAUCUGAGGUCCAGCAGGAGCUGCAAACACCGAGCAGCAGCUGGUGCAGAUCCAUCAUGAGGUCCCGCGUGUGCAGUCUGCACGUCUCUGACAGCUAGCAGGCUGUAGGUGCUGCUGAAGCUUCAUCAGCAUGAACCCACCACAUCCAGUCAGGAUGUCUGUUAACCAAUUUCUGCACCCAGCCUCAAAGCGAUUGCUGGUUGGUGCCAAACACAAUCUCAGUACUUUUCGGCCUUUUUGUCAAAUUAGCAUUUAAUGGCCUGUUUCCCCACUUAAGAUUAAAAUUGAAUUUAUUGAUCCCAGAGGGAAAUCCUGGGAUCAAAAUUCUUCUUCAACAAUAAGAACGCAAGGACGUCCCGGACGGUGUCCUUCAUGGUGCGCUCGUAAAACUCCUGCUGCGUCGUAUUAGGAGCAGAAAUCUGCAACAGCGUCAGAGGUUAUCAGCUCGUCUUCUCCCAGUGCCGUGACCUGCGCACGUGGCGUUAAUUCUGCAGGAUGCGCGACCACUCUUCGGCCGCCCCAGAUGAGCACGCCGUUCUGCCAGCCCUCCAGAGCAUGCAAGCCCUGAAACUGCCUUACUUGCGUG
Long non-coding RNA from Paramormyrops kingsleyae, 1022 nucleotides. RefSeq lists it as uncharacterized. NCBI's taxonomy places the organism in Eukaryota, Metazoa, Chordata, Actinopteri, Osteoglossiformes, Mormyridae. The record is from RefSeq and is a predicted model, not a curated record.